GCCGGUAUAGCUCAGUUGGUAGAGCACCUGACUUGUAAUCAGGGGGUCUCGAGUUCGACUCUUGGUGCCGGCACCA
RNAcentral lists this transfer RNA (76 nucleotides) under Neisseria gonorrhoeae. Its description in RNAcentral is "tRNA-Thr". It matches the Rfam family "tRNA". From Rfam's summary of the family: Transfer RNA (tRNA) molecules are approximately 80 nucleotides in length. Lineage: Bacteria; Pseudomonadati; Pseudomonadota; Betaproteobacteria; Neisseriales; Neisseriaceae. RNAcentral also lists the same sequence under 2 other names. The record is from RNAcentral.